This is a long non-coding RNA of Daphnia pulicaria, 265 nucleotides long. RefSeq lists it as uncharacterized. The record is from RefSeq and is a predicted model, not a curated record. Lineage: Eukaryota; Metazoa; Arthropoda; Branchiopoda; Diplostraca; Daphniidae. The transcript has 3 exons.
AACUUGUUGAAGAUGUUGAUAUGCUUCAGAGACUACAGUUGGAGAAACACUGACUGCUGGAUGAGGAGCGGAAGCAAACAGUUUUCGUGUUUCGUAAUUCACCCAUGGCCAUGGGAAUUCGCUAAUCAUGUUUGAUUGUAUUGGCAACUGUGUUCUUUAAUGAAAAUUCAAGCUCGUGGAUCGUCUGCUGUUCCUGGCUUUCGUCAAUUUUCGCUUACCUUCAUGACUGCACGUUAAAAUUUGACAAUUUUUUGCAGUUUCGUCA